This 275-nucleotide small nucleolar RNA is filed under the name Castor canadensis (American beaver). Its description in RNAcentral is "Small Cajal body specific RNA 6 (ENSCCNG00000031191.1)". It matches the Rfam family "Small Cajal body specific RNA 6". From Rfam's summary of the family: U88 is small Cajal body specific RNA (scaRNA). scaRNAs are a novel class of small nuclear RNAs which localise to the Cajal bodies. U88 is found associated with both fibrillarin and Gar1p and co-localises with coilin in Cajal bodies. Lineage: Eukaryota; Metazoa; Chordata; Mammalia; Rodentia; Castoridae. The record is from Rfam by way of RNAcentral.
CGUCUGAAAUGUGAAGAAAAAAUCCACUUUUAAAGGAAGUCAAACCCAGUACCGCCAGGAAAAAAAAAUUCAGAGCAGCUGCCUUUCUCCCGUCAGCCUCCAGUAGUGCUGAGAAGGGUAAAGGGAGCUGACAGGCAGUGAUGUUCCUGUGCUGUGUUCCCUGAGGGGCCCAGAGAAGACGCUGAGGCUGGCAUCCAACAGCUUAGUAGCCGAGGGCUUUGGGUGUUGAGAAUGCUGGUGUCUGUGGCUGUGAUUUCACAGUUCUGGCUGAGACC